This 279-nucleotide ribosomal RNA is filed under the name uncultured bacterium. RNAcentral's name for it is "partial 16S ribosomal RNA". It matches the Rfam family "Bacterial small subunit ribosomal RNA", at positions 506 to 784 of the family's 1533-position model. The record is from RNAcentral.
UGCCAGCCGCCGCGGUAAUACGGAGGGUGCAAGCGUUAAUCGGAAUUACUGGGCGUAAAGCGUGCGUAGGUGGUUCGUCAAGUCAGAUGUGAAAUCCCCGGGCUUAACCUGGGAACUGCAUUUGAAACUGGCAAACUAGAGUAUAGUAGAGGAAAGUGGAAUUUCUGGUGUAGCGGUGAAAUGCGUAGAUAUCAGAAGGAACAUCAAUGGCGAAGGCAACUUUCUGGGCUAAUACUGACACUGAGGUACGAAAGCGUGGGUAGCGAACAGGAUUAGAUA